Molecule: long non-coding RNA, 1354 nt
Filed under: Homo sapiens (human)
Lineage: Eukaryota; Metazoa; Chordata; Mammalia; Primates; Hominidae
Description: HSALNT0037935
Source: RNAcentral
GGAAGGUGGAGGCUGCAGUGAGCUGAGAUCGUGCCAUUGCACUCCAGCCUGGGCAACAAGAGUGAAACGCCAUCUAAAAAAAAAAAAGGUAACAAAAAACUCUCCCUCAAAUUCGUGUUGAUACCUAAUUCCCAAUGUGAUAACAUUUGGAGGUGCGGCCUUUGGGAGGUGAUGCAGUCAUGAGGGUGGAGACCUCAUGAAUGGGAUUAGUGCCCUUAUAAAAGAGACCACCAGAGAGCUUCCUCUCCCCUUCCUUCAUCUGAGGACACAGUGAGAAGCCAGCUGUCUAUGAACCAGAAAGCAGGCCCUCAUCACACAUUGAUUCUGCUGGCGUUUUGAUCUUGGACUUCCCAGCCUCCCUGUGAGAAAUGAAUUUCUGUUGCUUACAGGCCACCUGGUCUAUAGUCCUCUGUUACAGCAGCCUGAAUGAACCAAGACACCCAUGUACACAUUUACAAACAAAACAAGUACGGCCUAGCCCACAUUCUCAGGAGCUUACAAUUUUCCUUUAAGUAAAGUUACGUGGGAAGACCCUGAACUGUGGAGCAAAAAGGGCCUGCGUUGAGACUAGCUCUCCUGCUUGUCGUGCUGUGGUCUUGAGAAGCACCUGAACUCUUUGACCCCUUUCUCCUCAUCUGUGGAAUUAGGGUAACUAUGCCAUUCCCCAGGCUUGCUACCAGGAGGAGAAUGCGGGGACAGACUUGGGAGCAGCUCACAUUCCUGAAGAAGUUAACGUUCUAAGAUAAUAAAAGAAGGCGUGCAAGAAGAUCUAUAUGCAGUGACGUGCAAAGGUAUCAAGAACAAGUUGCGAAACCCCAUGGUAUGAUUUCAUCUGAUUAAAAGAAAAAAGGUGGUAGGUGCUGAAUGGUUGAAUAAAUGAACAGUCCUAAAAUGGAUAUAUUUUGGGGCAACAGUAAGUUGCCCCCAGGAAGAAAAUCACUUUUGGAAAAUAAAACUGGCAAGAAUCUAUGCUAAAUGGAUGAGACCAGCCACAGAAGCACUUCAUCCUAAAAGAUGGCAGAUCCCUACCUCUCCUCCCUUAGGGGAGGACGAAGGUGUCCCAGCCAAGGAAGAUCCUGGUCUCCAAGGGCUGUACCCUACUGAUCCGGAGGCAAAGCAGUGAGGGCCCACCCCAAUUCCUCACCUCCCAUUCUACUCUUCGGCAGAAGCAUCUCAGUGUUGGAAAGAUAAGGAUUUCUUCCUAAAAAGGAAGGAUUACACUAUAUCAGAGUCUGAAGAUACAGUUUUCAUUUGCAACGCAAGGGAAUUCCUUUGAAUCUCUACCUUAUGAUUUCCCUGCAAACCCACUCCGAUGGGGCUGGAGAGUGCUCUCUCACUCAGAUGAAUCUCUCAG